RNAcentral lists this long non-coding RNA (7793 nucleotides) under Prunus persica (peach). Its description in RNAcentral is "long non-coding RNA (PPER_LNC005607)". Lineage: Eukaryota; Viridiplantae; Streptophyta; Magnoliopsida; Rosales; Rosaceae. The record is from RNAcentral.
UCAUAUUGCUCUGCGGCAUUGCAGAACCUUGCAAGUUCAUUGAUUGCAACUGUGGGUUCAUUUGAUUUUCAUGAGAUUGCACUUGAGUCAUUUGAGAUUGUGACUGCUGCAUGGAGUGCAUAUGGGGUGGGGGGAGCUGCCCUUGCUGCAGAGAAGAAACUGGCUUCCUAGGUCUAUUUGUAUUAAUAAAAUUUACUAUCUGCUUUUCGUAUAAAAGCAACUUGUCCUUCAAACCAGGUGAAAUGCUACUUUUGGAAAUCUGCAAGACUGAUAUGAGGCGCUCUAACAUGGUCCUGAACAUUUUCAGUUUGUCAAGCUGCUCUGAUUUUGGUUGUUGUGGAAGAGAAUCAUGCUGGCAAACAGAGAGAACAAUAUAUAUGAUGAGUAAGCAAAAAAACAACCAAUAUUAGAAGUAACAAGAUUUUGUAGCAGAUAAUAUUAUUGGCUUUGUAACUAAAAAAGGUAAAAUAUUAUUCACAUUGUUGGUGGGGUAGCAGUCCCAUGUAGACAGUAUACAUGGCUGGAAUAAGUAAAAGGUAGAUCCAGUUGGAGAGAUCUAUCAUCGACCAUCACCACAAUAUCCUUGAAGAGAAAGGCUGCUCAAUGGUAAAUGUUGAGCAACAAAUAGUAUAGGGAAAAAAAAUGAAGUGAUUACAAACCUGCUGAAGUUUAGUAGCAAUUUUCUGAUACAUUUCACUUAGUUCAGGUAAGUACAUCUCCUUCAUGACUUUGAUCUGCAAAAAUGGAGUAAGAAAGGCAAAGAUAAUUAGAAAGGACUUUGUUGUAGCUACAUGCUUGCAGAUACCAUAAUAUCACCAGAUUUCUUUGUUUCGUGGUAGCUCAUGCAUCUAUAAGUUUUCCUGUCCAAUGCUUCAAAAUACAGUGCCAACGGAAAAGAGCUCAUGCAUGCAACAACGAAUUUGGAAAGUAUGACUUCAUGCAUGCUUGUACGUAAGGUAUGGACAGUUCAGAUAGAGCCUGAAUACGAUCCCUACCAAGACAGCCAAACUUACCCUUACUUCCUUUUUAAUAAUAUAGUAAUAUGGGAAUGUAAUCUUCUUUCUACUGAAAAUAAUAGAAAUUUUGAUUUUCUACCCAUACACAACAUAUAUGUAUUCCUACCGAUAUUUACUGUUAUCCCAGCAAACCCUGCCGUCAAUUCCCUUUUCAAUCCUAUAUAACAUGUGAAUGCAAUUUCCCUGAAAAGUGUAUUCCUAAGUUUUAUUACCUUCUAUGCCCUUUUUUCUAUACUAAACCAUGCAUUUUUAUAUAUUCCUAUAUGAUCACCAGUAUCUACCCUUGUUACAGCAGUUAAUUACAUUCCCCACAAAUCCUGUAUAUAAUCCCAACACAAAUAGCCAAACCCCAAAUUGCGCCUUCUCUUUCUUUCUAAUCUUAUAUCCAAUGCGAAUGCCAUUUAAUGGACAACAAGUCAGGGCAUCUUACUUUUUGAAAGACCUCCUCUUGCCAAUCACCCCCAGUUGCAUGUCCAGUCUGGGCAGUGGAAUCUAGAGAUGCUACAAAAUAUACAGAAAUAUAUGUCAGAUAUUUGCACAUAGACAGUUAUGAUUGAGAAAAAUCAUUGCCUGCAGAACAUUGAUAAAGAAAAAUGGAAAACUAUCCUGUCCAAAAUAGUUUAAAAUGUAUGUUUAUAAAAUAAAAUUAAAAAUAUCAUUUCAUUACAUGAGCUAAGGCAGAACAGGACUAUGCACGCACUAGAUUGUGGACAAUCCAUGGCAACUAUAUUUAAUAAACAAAGUAGCAAAAUAGUAAGGCUCCACACACACAUACACACCAAAAAAAAAAAAAAAAAAACUCUUCAUCUAUAAACCAAUUGAAGCAAAAUUCAUGAAUUAAAAACCAUAUUUUUAAAACCAAAGGGAUGAAAGACACUUCAGAUAAGAUUUUGCUCCUAGUUUCUGCUUAUGAGGAAAAGUUUCACAUCUACUUGUUGCCAAAGAAAUAGAAGCGUUUGGAAAAGAGCUUAACAAUAUGUAACAACAUUUUCUCUAACACCGUAAGUCAAGAAAAAACAAAGAUGCAAAACCUGAAGUGAAAGGAAACAAAAGCUUCAUCUUUCAUCAGUAAAGUCAAAGAUAUAAAAUCUUCAAGCAACUUUGAUUAUAAACAAGAAGCACCAGAGUUGAAAGGUAUACUUAUGGGACUCAAGGUGGUCUAUAUGCCUAUUUUAGGAGUAGACGCAAAACUAGUAACAAGGCUAUUUACAUACAAUCUAUUCUGCUAGUAGGCUUACUAUUUCGUUAUCCUUGUGGAUUAUUUCCUAUAUAUUUUUUUUGGAAUAGAAACUAUGUAAAUUCAAAGAGAUAAACAAAGAAACAAGCAAUUGGAUAAGGAAUCCACAAGAACAAAACAAAAGAAAACAGCAACCUCAAGACCAAAACAAAGGAAGGAAAAGAGGACAAAAGCAAACAAAAAGGCCACCCAGGAAAAAAGAAAAGAGCAACACAUCACUUCACAACUGCUACCAAAUGUCGCAUAAUAGAAGAGAGCCAAAUCCUUAAAAACAGGAGUAACCGAAUCCCAUAAAGCCUAUUUCCUAUCUAACCAGGUCAACUCUAUAAUUGAGCCCUAGUUCCGCCUAUUGAUAUUGAGAAUACAAGAAUAAAGCUGAAAUUUUUAUCUUGAUUUUGGUAUUUGACUUCGUUUAUCUUUCCUCCGGUGUGCUGCAUCCUAUAUUAGUUAACGCCCUCAAUUCCUUUCAUAUAAACUUAAACCACACUGAGCAUCUAAUUAGCAAACACAAUUCACAAAAUUUUAUGUCCACUAGAUAUUGCUAAUUAACCUUUAAAAAAAUGUAAACUUGACAUGGCUUGUUUUAGCUCUAUCUUUUAAUAUGACCGGACAUUUUGCAUAGGAAAAGACAUUAUAUGUGGUUUAACAAUAUAGAGCACACAACCAAGGAUAAACAUGUUUGACAGAUAAAGGAUGAUGCACCUAUUUAACAGGAUUGUAUACACUACUCUACUGUGUGUUUGUAUUGUGCUUCAGUGAUGGUCACAGCAAACAAUCAGCAAACUAUCUAAGUUUUGAAACUAUAAAAGUAUAAAGGUGGAGUGCACCUACUUGGCAUGAUAGACGGCACAAACGUUCUGUUGACUAAGUCCAAUUGUGCAUCCAUGUAUAUUUUAAUAAAAGAAGUCACAUACGAGAAGAUAACAUUCCAAAGUUCAAUUAUUUUCAUGGAAUCUAGACCCAUACAUCAAGCAGGCAUAACAAAAUAUAUUUCUCCAUAAGUCAUCCAAAAAAAGUGUAGCACCACAAAAGCAAACAUACAAAUAAGAAGCCUGUUUGCAUCACAAAACCAGCUAAAUCUCAUAAAAGUGACAGGGUUGACCCACAAUGGAACGGCCCAAAUGAAAAGUAAAAUUCUGUCCAAAACAUGCAUCUAUGAUAAUCUAAAUAACAUGAAAUCACAUGCAUAAGAAAAGCAACAAUUACAAGUGUUGGAAACUACAUAAUUGCAAAAAUCAUACUCGAUGAUGUCUCAGGAAGGGGUCUUUGAGAUUGAUAUAACUGCUUUUGCUGAUCCAUUACGUUUUGUGGUUGCAGCAUGGUUCCAGGAACCUGACCUGAGGCUUGAAGUCUUUGCUGCAUAUCUCGUUGCAGCGGAUUUGACUGCUGUUGCAAACCCAAUUGCUGCAUCUGUGGAGGCUGCGACUGAAUCUGUGACAACAAUUGUUGCUGUGAUGCCUGAGGUUGUGACUGCUGUCCUUGAGGGGGUAACAAGUUAGAUGAACUCUGAUGUUGUUGUUGUUGCUGUCCUUGAACCUUGGAUUGUUGCAACAAGUGUACAGAGUGCUGAUUAGUUUGCAUGCUUGAGUUACCACUUUGAGUUCCAAGGUGCUGCUGUUGCUGUAACCCAGUAACAUUACUCUGAGGGCCCAACUGUGGCUGAUGCAUAUUUGAAAGGUUGCUUUGCUGAGCCAUUAACUGCUGCUGCUGUUGUUGUUGCUGCUGCUGCUGCUGCUGCUGUUGUUGAAGGUUUAAAAUGUUAUUCUGCUGGCUCAGUAACCUCUGUUGUUGCUGUUGCUGCUGCAUAUCCCCAACAUUGUUUUGUUGUCCGAUUAGCUGAUUCUGCGACAAGCUCGUAGCAUUUGACUGUUGCACCAUAAGCUGCUGCUGUUGCUGCUGCUGUGGGGGUAAUAUUGGCUGUUGUGGCAUUGAUGUUUGCUGUUGGUGAACAACAGAGGCCUGUUGUUGUUGAGGCUGUCUGAGAACUGACUGUGGAUGCUGCUGAAGCAUAGAUGGUGUUGACUGUUGAAUUGCAGAUUGUUGAUUCUGCUGAAGACUAGAGAGAGAUGAUUGCACCACAGAAGGUUGAAUAACAGAUGAUGUUUGCAUAACAGGUUGCUGAGAAGACUGCAACUGAGUUGGUUGUAAUAGGUUCGGCUGCUGUUGCUGCUGUUGGACAAGUUGUGGGAUAUUUCCCUGCUGAUAUUUGGGCUUCAAAAGAGGAUGUUGCUGAUGUUGCAACUGUUGAUGGUACAUAUACUGCUGGGAAUUCUGGGAUUGCUGCUGCUGCUGCUGCUGCUGCUGCUGUUGUGGAACUACCUGUUGCCUUCCUGGCAAUUGCCUUUGAGAAGUAGCAAACAUAUUGGAGGGUACCCCCUGGCCCAUAUUCUGCAUGUUUUGAUUUUGCCCAACAAUACUUGGAAUAGGAGUCUGGGUUAAACCGGAUGAAGGAGGUAGAGCAGAUGAUAAGCCAGCAGAACUUUGAACUCCAGCAGCUGGAAUGUUAUUCUGAAUGUUCUGUGAUAAGAGUUGUUGACGUGCCUGAGAUUGAUUAGCUGGCAACGGCAUAGAGAGUGAUUGCCCUUGAUUGGGGACUUGGGGUUGCAUACCAAAAGACCCUACUCAUGUAAAAUAGAAAGAAUAAACACCAAAUAAACAUUUCCAAAUAGAUAAAAAAGUUAAAAAAGUGAAAAAAGUAAAAAAAACAAAUUAAGUAAAAAGAUAUAGCAACCAGAUUCCAGUCUUGAAAUUUCACCAUACAAGCCAACAGAUAUCAACAAUGAAUCUUCCCAGGUAAGAAAUGUGGGAAUAAGGAAACGAUAUGGUUUUUCAAGCAUUUAACUAUCAAGAAGAAAGCUACAUAUAAAAUAGAAUAACAACCCACCCUCCAUUUCAUAAAGCAUGUAUGCUGGGAGAAGAAAGUAGUAGUUCACAGAGUAACUGAAAGUUGUAUAGGUGCAUGAAAUGGGAGCACAGUUUCCAUAGUUGUUUUUACCUGGAUCAGGGGGUCUGUUGCUAUUACCAGCAGAGUUGGAUUGUAAAGAAUUGGCCAUUGUGUUCUGAGACUUGGUCUCCAUUGUUAGCAUCUUCAGACUAAUCUUCCGUAGGUAAUCUGACUGUAAAAAGAAACCCAUGCUAAACUUAGACUACAUUGCUAUCCAAAAUACAAAGAAAGCUGAAACACAGACCACGCUUAUUUAAGAAAUUACAUAUGUAUAGAUCAGUACAUAUCUAAGUAGAGUUACUUGUCAUAUACAAAGAAAAAUUUGGACCCAAGAGUUAUUGAAGUACCUGGCUUGUGGCAGCAGUAUAAAUCUUUUCCUCAAACCUUACGGCAAUUUUCUUGAGCUCCUGUAAUCCCUCAUGACCAGAGAAAGGGAGAUGCCUCUUCAAUGUAUCCAUUCUUCACAUGCCAUAUAUUUAAAAUAAGUUACUAACAACCAAGGCAUGGAGGUAGUGUUCAUAACAACGAAAGUGAAUUCAGGAUAAAUAAUUCAAUCCACUAAGCUUUUUUCUUACGAAAGAAACACAUACAUCUUGUUUACAAUUCUUUGCCUUGAAUCCGGCUGCAGUUGACUCCUCCAAUCUCCUGCAUCCAUGGGGGCCUCUCCAACUUGAGGAGGCCUCCAAUUAUUGGUAUCCAUCAAAUCCAAGGAACCGAACAAACUGUCAAACAAAAAAGAACAAAAUAUUGAGCAACCUCAAUGAAAACCCACGAAAAGGCACAAAAUUUGUACAAAACAUACUAAACUUAAACGAUGAUAAAGUUUCCAAAUAUGAAAUCUUUUUUGUGUCCAAAAUGGAUCCACUUAAGCUGAUUUUAAACAUGAUUUUGUCAUGAAAUUCUCCAAUAUACAAUCCCUGAAUUCACAUAUGCAAAAGCAAAGCUUACAAUUCACAUACAAUCGAAAACUCAAUACGAUUUUCGACAAUCAGAGGGAAAAAAAACCCAACAAUGAAUUCUACACCAAACCCCUAAUCUGUUUCUAUCAAAAAGAAGGAAAAAAAAAUCCAAUAAAAUUGAAAACAAAAAAAUUACCGUUUCUUUUUGGAGAUUGAAAAGUCUAGGCAGCUCGAAGCAGAAGAAUUUGGGAGAUGAAAGAAAAAUUGCCGAAGUCGGAAAUUAGGGGAAGAAGGGGGUUUUCAGGCACAAAGACUCAAGUGAAUAAAUAUUGAAUUGAUUGAUGCGUUGGAACGAAACAACUAAAUCCUAUUUUAAACGAAGCAUCAAUAUCUGACCCUCUUUUUUUUGGGGUCUUUUUUUCAAAUUUCUGAUUUUUUUAGUUUGGUUCGGAGUAAGCUCAUGGGGACAAAAAGACAAUAAGACCAGUAUCGUUGAAACUUUAUAAGUUGCCACUUGCCCCUUAUCUUUGCCCCUCAUCUGGGCAAUCACCCACCCCAACCGGAAACUUCCGUUUCAGUCCACGGAAACCCUUCACUACGUCACCCUUUUAUUUUUAUGAACAACUAGUUUAUCAACACGCACUUUAAUUGGCUUAAAUAUGACGCAUAUUUUAAACUAGCCUCUUGACACUCGCCCGCCCAUGCAUCAAUCUAAAUUGUGUAUUAUUAUUUUGCUUAAAUUUAUAAUAGUCCCUUGGCGCACACGUAUGAAUUUUUUUUUGUUUCUUAUUUUGUUUUUUAAUUUUAGAACUAGUUUUAGAACUUUUGUUUUAAUAUAUUCAAAAUGCUAGCUUCUCAAAAUGCAGGACAUCGUUUUCUUUUCUUUUCUUUGUUUAUUUAUUCUUGCAUUUAAUAUUUUUAAUUGUAUAACUUUAUUGCUUUAUCCUUUUAAAAUGAAAUAUUUAGUUAGGAUCUUUUUCUCUUAAUAUUUAGAAACUUAACACUAAUAAAAGGGUCGUCUUUUGCUUUACCUUAAAUAAUCACACUCCUUUUGUUAUAAAUUCAUGGUUUAUACGUGAUCCAUCUAACGUUUAUAAAGUUAUUUAGGGUGCCGGAAUUUUAGGGUGUGUAAAUAAAAUAGUCGUGGGUUUAUAUAUCACAUUUUGGGUGGGAGACAACUUUGCAUGACUAAGGUGGUGGGGGUUUGCUCAAUCCUUCUUGAUUUGUAAAAGCUUUGGGCUAAGUUCGGCCCAUGAGAAAAGAGAAACUUUGCAUGUGGAACAAGAAUAUACAACAUAAAAUAUAAGAUAUAGGAUAGCGUUCCGACUAGAGUAUUAACAUUAGAAACAGUUUGGAAAUUGUUUCUCGCUCUUCUUCGACAAACACUUGAGUUUCUGAAAUUUUUCAUCACAAAUAUGUGCAUUUUAUUUAAGACCAAGUUACGAAAUGUGUAUAUUCCACAUGUCAAGGGAAGACACGAGGCCGUUUCAGGUAGGAGGGGCGGCUGUGCUGUCCAUUGAUGCCUUGCAGAAACUGGCUUCGCAGGCAUUAAUAAAAUUUACUAUCUGCUUUUCGUAAAAAAACAACUUGCAAUUCAAACCAGGUGAAAUGCUACUUUUGGAAAUCUGUAAGACUGAUAUGAGGCGCUCUAACAUGGUCCUGAGCAUUUUCAGUUUGUCAAGCUGCUCUGAUUUUGG